UUUAAACGGAAAUCGACAGUGCAAAUUUCGGUUCCCACAGUUUGGCACUAGAAGGAGGGGGGGGUACGGAUCAAUCUAACUCUUAGCCACAAAACGCUUGAUCAAAACAAUGCCUGGAAACACGAAAGAAAAAAUCGCAGUUCGCAACAACGCUGGUAAGACAACCCCAGCUGCCACUGCACCUAUGGCCAACGAUUACGUAAACGCCAUAGUGCCUAAAAAAAAUCGAAAAAAACCUAGCCGCGACUUUUCG
Molecule: long non-coding RNA, 253 nt
Filed under: Brassica napus (rape)
Lineage: Eukaryota; Viridiplantae; Streptophyta; Magnoliopsida; Brassicales; Brassicaceae
Description: long non-coding RNA (BNAP_LNC014209)
Source: RNAcentral